RNAcentral lists this long non-coding RNA (5670 nucleotides) under Homo sapiens (human). Its description in RNAcentral is "non-protein coding lnc-ZSCAN10-3:46". The record is from RNAcentral. Lineage: Eukaryota; Metazoa; Chordata; Mammalia; Primates; Hominidae.
GGUUUUGAGGGUUCCGGGUGUGGAGUCUCGAGCCUGGGUUGCACCUGCUCUUGGCCGGGAGGUGACUCCCAGAGCCGCAAUGCCAGCUCAUGAGGAUGGCUUUACCCAGGACGCGUUCAUGAUGCCAGCAAGGCAGAGCCACCAAAACAGAAAAAUGGAAGAUGCAUUUUGUGGAAAGAUUGUGUUAUUUGAAAUUUCAAAGCGAGCACUGCAGUUGUCCUCACAGGUAGAAAGAAGGGCAUUUUGCAGGGUGGAGAGGGCAGGACCAUUUAUUUUAGCACUCGGGGUUUCUGAAGGUUAUUGUCUCCUGAGGGACCCUGAAUUCAUUUAGGGACUCCUAGUCAAGGGCCCUCUGGGUCCCCCCAAGACUGGCACAGAACUCUCUCCCUAAGAGUGAACUUGGGAAACAGGCUGGGAACUCCCCCCAAUCCGGAUGCCCCACACCUUGGGAAGAAGUUGGUUAAUCCGAUUCUUCCAGGCCCAUUUCAGCUUGGGGAUAGAGGGUGUGAUCCAGCUAUAAAUGGGGUUCUAAGUUCUCAAACACGCCUGGCAGCUGCAGAUUCUGCCUCUCAGGCACCAUUUCCCUUUAGACCCUGAGAAGUAAGGCCUCAAAUAGAGAGGACAGAGACUGUGCUUUACUUUCUGGGGGAAGGAACCAUUUCUCUUGGGCAGGCAUGGGGGCUGGGUGUCAGGAAAAGGGCCAGGGGCCCAGUCCUGGAAUCAGAUUCCAGGAAGUUUCCCUAGGAAACGUCCCCAUGCCACUGUCUUUGGCUCACCAGAAUCCCCUGAGGUGCACAGCUUCACACAGUAAGAUGGGCCCAGCUGCCUCUGUACCAGCUCGUGCUAUGUUGUGUGGGCUUUUAAGGGUUUGUUUGUUUAUUUAUUUACUUAUUUGAGACAGGGUCUUGCUCUGUUACCCAGGCUGAAGUGCAGUGGCACGAUCAUAGCUCACUGUACCCUCAACCUCCUGGACUCAAGCAAUUCACCUCAACCUCCCAAGUAGCUGGGGCCACAGGCGCAUGCCACCAUGCCUGGCUAAUUUUUUAAAUUUUUUUGUAGAGAUGGGGGUCUUGCUUUGUUACCCAGGAUGGUCUUGAACUCCUGAUCUCAAGCAAUCCUCCCACCUCCCAAAGUGCUGGGAUUACAGGUGUGAGCCAUCAUGCCCAGAGGGUUUAAUUUUUUUUUUUUUUUUUUUGAAAUGAAGUCUCACUCUGUGGCCCAGACUGGAGUGCAAUGGCGUGGUCUUGGCUCACUGCAACCUCCACCUCCCUGGUUCAAGUGAUUCUCCUGCCUCAGCUUCCCAAGUAUUUGAGAUUACAGGUGCCCAUCACCAUGCCGGGCUAAUUUUUGUAUUUUCAGUAGAGACGGGGUUUCACCGUGUUGGCUAGUCUGGUCUCGAACUCCUGACCUUGAGUGAUCCACCUGCCUUGGCCUCCCAAAGUGCUGGGAUUACAGGCGUGAGCCACCGCGCCCAGCUAAUUUUGUUUUUUUUUUAACUUAGUUUCUAACAUUAAAAAAUUGACACUCAUAAAACUGAUUCUUUUAUUUUUUUAGACGGAGUUUCGCUCUUCUUCCCAUGCUGGAGUGCAAUGGCGCAAUCUCAGCUCACCCCAACCUCCGCCUCCUGGGUUCAAGCGAUUCUCCUGCCUCAGCCUCCUGAUUACCUGGGAUUACAGGCAUGUGCCACCACACCUGGCUAAUUUUGUGUUUUUAGUAGAGAUGGGGUUUCUCCAUGUCGGUCAGGCUGGUCUGGAACUCCUGACCUCAGGUGAUCCGCCCACCUCAGCCUCCUAAAAUGCUGGGAUUACAGGCGUGAGCCACCGCGCCCAGCCUAUAAAAUUGAUUCUUUAAAAAAAAUUAGAACAUUUACCGAUGCUGGACCCACCUUCCCCACCUUCAGGGUCCACUUUCUAGGUGGCCACAGUGCCUGCUUGGCCCCUGUAGCAUUUGAGUUUGCAACUCUGCUUUUGGAGUUAAACAUGUUUUAGGAGUCCUGGGAUUCUGAUUGAUGCUAUUGUCAAUUUGAUGAAAGAAAAAUUACUCCUGGGAUUUGUGUCUGGUGUUUUCCAGGUGUUCUGGUUUUGGGAUUUUGUUGUUGUUUUGUUUUGUUUUUGUUUUUCUGAGACAGAGUCUCGCUCUGUCAUCCAGGCUGAAGUGCAAUGGCACCAUUUCGGCUCAUUCCAACCCCCACCUCCUGGGUUCAAACGAUUCUUCUGUCUCAGCCUCCCAGGUAGCUGGGAUUACAGGAGUGUGCCACCGCGGCCAGCUAAUUUUUGUAUGUUUAGUAGAGACAGGGUUUCAUCAUGUUGGCCAGGCUGGUCUCGAACUCCUGGGUUCAAGCAAUCCACCCACCUCUGCCUCCCAAAGUGCUGGGAUUAUAGGCUGAGCCACUGUGCCUGGCCAGGUGUUCUGUUUUUGUUUUUGAUUUUUUAGAGAUGUGGUCUCGCUAUAUCACCCAGGCUGGUCUCGGACUCCUGGCUUCAAGCAAGUCUCCCGCCUCAGCCUGCUCAGUAGCUGGGACCACAGGUGCGAGCCACCACACCCGGCUUCUAGGUGUUUUAAGCCUCAAGGCGAAGAGAGACAUGCAACUUAACAAGUCAGUACUGUUUUCAAGCCAGAGUGAGCGAUGAACUGAAAGCUGAAGCGGGGAGGGGUCCUGGAAAUCAUGACACUCUUCACUCUGCCAACCAGGAGGAGAGCUGAGUGUCCAGGGUCAGGGAAUUCACUCCUGAAAGGGACCCUUUCACCCCACACUGUCCCAGGAGUGCACCAAGCCCCCCCAAAAGUGGAUGUGUCGAUGUGUCCCGACUCUUGGGCAAAAGUUUCUCUACCAGCAAAAGAGGCCACUUCAGGGAUACUGGGGGAGUCCAAAGGUUUGGAUCCCUCCAUAGGAUCACCUAAAUUAGGUCAAAUGAAGUCUGAGCAUCUGUUUAAUUGUUCAAAGAAGAUUUAUUGGACAUCUACUGUAAGGCAGACAUUAACUUCUUCUUGAGAAUGAGAGGUGUUCCUUCCAGGGCUGGCUUUUGGAUCUAGGCAGGUCCAGGAGAGACGGUGACCACAGUCGCCAUGUGGCAACAGCAACCCCUAAAAGAGCACCGAAAGGCGUCAGGGCAGGGUGAGUCAGUAAGUAGAGCAGACAUUAAAAACUUAAACGGGGCUGGGUGCAGUGCCUCGUGCCUGUAAUCCCAGCACUUUGGGAGGCCAAGGUGAGCUGAUGGCUUGAGCCCAGGAGUUCCAGACCAGCCUCAGCAACAUAAUGAGACCCCAACUCUAUUUAUUUAUUUAUUUGUUUUGAGACGGAGUCUUGCUCUGUCGCCCAGGCUGGAGUGCAGUGGCACAAUCUCAGCUCACUGCAAGCUCCGCCUCCCGGAUUCACGCCAUUCUCCUGGCUCAGCCUCCUGAGUAGCUGGGACUACAGGCGCCCGCCACAACGCCCAGCUAAUUUUUGUAUGUUUAGUAGAGAUGCAGUUUCACUAUGUUGGCCAGGCUGGUCUCAAACUCCUGGUCUCGAUCUCUUGACCUCGUGAUCCACCCGCCUCGGCCUCCCAAAGUGCUGGGAUUACAGGCUUGAGCCACUGCGCCCGGCCCCCAACUCUAUUUAAAAACAAAAAACUUAAAUGCCUCCAGCCACCAGCUUACAUACGGGACCAAUGGCUUGGGAGUAAGACGGGAGGGAGAAGGGACUUCAGAGGCCUUUGAGAAAUCCUUGAAGAGAAGCCAAAAAACAAUUCGAUUCCUCUGUGACCUCCUGACUUUUAAAUUGAUGACAAAGUUUUAAAAUUUAAGAAUUCCAGCCGGGCGCGGUGGCUCACGCCUGUAAUCCCAGCACUUUGGGAGGCGGAGACGGGCGGAUCACGAGGUCAGGAGAUAGAGACCAUCCUGGCUAAUACUGUGAAACCCCGUCUCUACUAAAAAUACAAAAAAAAUUAGCCGGGCGUGGUGGCGGGCGCCUGUAGUCCCAGCUACUCCGGAGGAUGAGGCAGGAGAAUGGCGUGAACCCGGGAAGGGGAGCUUGCAGUGAGCCGAGAUACCGUCACUGCACUCCAGCCUGGGGGGCGGAGCCAGACUCCGCCUCAAAAAAAAAAAAAAAAAAAAAAAAAGAAUUCCAUACAAGUCAGCAGAACACACCUGCUGUCUGCAUUCAACUCACAGGUCAUCUGUGUAGGGACGUACUUACCUCUCAGUAACUGACUAUAGGCCGGGCGCGGUGGCUCAUGCCUGUAAUCCCAGCACUUUGGGAGGUCAAGGCUGGCGGAUCACCUGAGGUAGGGAGUUCGAGACCAGCCUGACCAACAUGGAGAAACCCCAUCUCUACUAAAAAUACAAAAUUAGCCGGGUGUGGUGGCACAUGCCUGUAAUCCCAGCUACUAGGGAGGCUGAGGCAGGAGAAUCGCUUGAACCUGGGAGGCAGAGGUUGCGGUGAGCCGAGAUCACGCCAUUGCACUCCAGCCUGGGCAACAAGAGUGAAACUCCAUCUCAAAAAAAAAAAAAAAAAAAAAAAGAAUUGACUAUAAUUGGGGCCAGGCACAGUGGCUCACGCCUGUAAUCCCAGCACUUUGGGAGGCCGAGGCGGGCGGAUCACCUGAGGUCAGGAGUUUGAGACCAGCCUGACCAAAAUGGAGAAACCGCGUCUCUACUAAAAAUACAAAAAUUAGCCGGGCAUGGUGGUGCACGCCUGUAAUCCCAGUUACUCGGGAGGCUGAGGCAGGAGAAUUGCUUGAACCCAGGAGACGGAGGUUGUGGUGAGCCGAGAUGGUGCCAUUCAUUGCACUCCAGCCUGAACAACAAGAGCUAAACUCCGUCUCAAAAAAAAAAAAAAAAAAUGGAAGGAAAGAAAGAAUUGACUAUAAUGCACAAAGCCGCUUAGCAGAGCUUCGAGCAUGGUAAAUAAUAAAUGCCAACUCCUGUAGCUGGCGGCUUCACUGACCCUGAGUAAGGAGAGGACUCCUCCUUCAAUAAAUAAAUCAUGAUCUGCUCUCAGAGAUCGACCUGACAGUUAAGUCAAGACUUAAGGAAUAACAAAAACUAGGGAAAAAAAGACCCAUCUGAAGUAAGAACAAAAUAAUUGGUGCUAAUUAAGGUGGCUAAGCCAGGUUGGAGACAGGGAGAUGUAGCCAGCCUUAGGAAGGAAGGAAGGAGACGACGAUAGGGGAAAACAAGGGAACUGAGCAAGGUAAAGAAAAAUAAGAAUAAUAAAGACCAGAGCAGGUCGGCGCGGUGGCUCACACCUGUAAUCCCAGCACUUUGGGAGGCCGCGGCGGGCGGAUCACGAGGUCAGGAGUUUGAGACCAGCCUGGCCAACAUAGUGAAACUCCAUCUCUACUAAAAAUACAAAAAUUAGCUGGGCGUUCUGGCGGGCGCCUGCAAUCCUAGCUACUUGGGAGGCUGAGGCAGGAGAAUCGCUUGAACCCGGGAGGCGGAGGUUGCAGUGAGCCGAGAUCGCGCCACCGCACUCCAGCCAGGGCGACAGUGUGAGACUCCGUCUCAAACAAACAAACAACAAAAAAGAGCAGAGCAAAUAUUGAACUCUAAAAGAGAAGAAAAAGAAACCAGCAGAAGUGUUAGAUAGGUAGGACCCAAGGAAUACACAUUGUUAAAAGAAAAGAUUUCCCAGGGCCACCGGACACCAGCGCGUGAGAAUCCGGAGGCAGGGAGGCGACCCGGUUCCCG